Molecule: ribosomal RNA, 419 nt
Filed under: Enterobacteriaceae bacterium R-31851
Lineage: Bacteria; Pseudomonadati; Pseudomonadota; Gammaproteobacteria; Enterobacterales; Enterobacteriaceae
Description: bacterial SSU rRNA
Rfam family: Bacterial small subunit ribosomal RNA
Source: RNAcentral
CUGGCUCAGAUUGAACGCUGGCGGCAGGCCUAACACAUGCAAGUCGAGCGGCAGCGGAAAGUAGCUUGCUACUUUGCCGGCGAGCGGCGGACGGGUGAGUAAUGUCUGGGAAACUGCCUGAUGGAGGGGGAUAACUACUGGAAACGGUAGCUAAUACCGCAUGACCUCGAAAGAGCAAAGUGGGGGAUCUUCGGACCUCACGCCAUCGGAUGUGCCCAGAUGGGAUUAGCUAGUAGGUGAGGUAAUGGCUCACCUAGGCGACGAUCCCUAGCUGGUCUGAGAGGAUGACCAGCCACACUGGAACUGAGACACGGUCCAGACUCCUACGGGAGGCAGCAGUGGGGAAUAUUGCACAAUGGGCGCAAGCCUGAUGCAGCCAUGCCGCGUGUGUGAAGAAGGCCUUAGGGUUGUAAAGCACU